CGUUUACCUUUUUUUGGUGCUCAAUUUUCAAAUAUGCUGUGAAUUUUAUACUUACAAUGCCUCCCAAAUGGUUAUAGCUGCGUUUUAAGAGUAUGAUGUACACGUGGCUAGUGGUGAUCAUUUGGACUUUGCAGCUUUCAAAUGAACCACACCUUUUGCCUGUCUCCCCUGCUGGACAGCACCCCGAGAAAAGAUCUGUGUCUUUUGUUCACUAUGUCUGCAGCUCCUAGAACAGUCUGAGUACAAUACGUGUUCAGUAAACAUUUGUUGGAUGGCUCACAUUGUCAGAACUGCAGCCUGGAGCUGAGAUGGUACCAGAUUUCUGCAGAGAUGCCAGGAGGGUUGGUGGCCAGCAUGCUGGACAGGAUCUACCACUCUGCUCACAGCCCUCCAAGGCCUGUGGAGUCCUGGAUUCUCCUGGGAGCCCCACCCCCGUGUGCCUCCCGCUCGCUGCUCCUUCUGUGCAGGGGGUUGGUUGGACCCAUGCAGACCUUGGUCACUCUGCGUCCACAGCACAGGUUAGGACCACUGUGGGCCUGUGUGCCAAUCUGGCUGCCAGUGCUUCUUUCCAUCCCGCUCCCACACUUCAUUCCUCUCGGUGCGAAGAGGAAUCUGGCUUCCUCCUCUGCACCUGGGCUACACUUAGGACUUGCUUUGAAG
RNAcentral lists this long non-coding RNA (660 nucleotides) under Fukomys damarensis (Damara mole-rat). RNAcentral's name for it is "lncRNA (ENSFDAG00000030698.1)". The record is from RNAcentral. Lineage: Eukaryota; Metazoa; Chordata; Mammalia; Rodentia; Bathyergidae.